GAUUGAUUUGGACCCGUAGAUCCAACAGUGCAAGGUGAAGCCCAAGUCAGCGAUGGGGUCAUGGAUUCGUACUAGUUUGAUUUUUCACUUCAGCCGGCGUUUCAUCUUGGUUAAGACCUUCGUCCUAAAGUUCUUCUCUCUCCGGCGGAAUUCUUUGCGCUGAAUUCGAGUUUUCUGCUUCGGUAUGGCUAAGGAGGUUUACACCAGGGAAGAGUUGCUUGCGCUGUUGCAGGAUCUUCAAAUUGAUUUUGCCAAGUACGAACAUCCGGCUGUAUUGACAGUUGAAGCUCAGGCAAAAUAUGUUGGAAAUUUGGGGGGUGGUAUCAGUAAGAAUCUGUUUUUGAAGGACAAAAAGAAUAGAUACUAUGUAGUUUCAGCAUUGGCACAGACCAAAGUGGACCUGAAAGUUCUAUCUGCAAGACUUGGUUUGGGGAAAGGAGGUCUGAGAAUGGCUCCCGAGGAAGCAUUGGGAGAGAAACUUAAGGUGUCGUUGGGUUGUGUUACUCCAUUUGCACUUAUCAAUAAAACAGCACGAGAUGUUGCUUUAUUGUUAGACCAAGGAUUUAAAAGCCAGGAAUUCUGCUUCUUCCACCCUUUGUCAAAUGAAACAUCAAUAUCUCUUAAUACCACCAAUCUCGACAAGUUCCUUAAAUCAAUCGGGAGAGACCCUUCAUACAUUGACUUGGAGGCUAAUCCUUCUGUAGGAAAGGAUCAACCCCCCGAUCUUGCUGGACUUGUUCCUUCUGGUUCUGCCUUUGUGCCCGAUACUCCAGAGAAAACAUCUUCAUGUCCUGGUUCUAAUGAAAAUCAAGGUGUUGCGGACAAGAAGUCUAAGGCAGCUGCAGUGAAACCAUCUUCUGCUGUGAAAGCUGGAAAGGACAAAGCCGUUCCAAAAGCACGACCAUCCUAUGCAAAUGUCGAGAAAUUUGUCGAAGAGAUUCUUGAUAAGACAUCGGCAAUAGUGCUUUCAGAGCUCACAGAGGAGACUGUUAAAAAACAUGGAGAACAGUUGGGAGAUGUGGUGUCAAACAGCAUUAAGAAACAUCUUAGCUCGGAGUUGAACAAUCUUUCUAUGAUAUUUAAGAACAAUGCAUACACAGAAGGGUUCCAUGCUGGAUCUUCCCAUAAAGUGAAGCAUGCGUGCUGAUAUUUUUGUCUGCUUGUGUUUCCAAUAGAAACUGAAGAAGAGGACUCCGACCAAAGGCCGGAUAAUGACCACCAGCUCAGUAUUGCUGAUGGGUUGCAUGGUUCAGGUAAUUUAUUUAAUUUUAAUGAUCAGGGUGAAUUAUGAAUUUUGAUUUCAUAUCAGCACUUGACGUCCUUCUUAAAGGAGGCAUACAAAUACGUUUGUGCUCCUGAGAUUAGCGCCAACCUUUAAUCUACCAACAAGGUAUAAACUAAGUACCUUGUAUCAUUUAGGCAGGUUUAGUUUAUCACUAUUCGUGCAUUUACAUGUUUUUCUUCAAUGCUUAAUUCUUGAUUCUUUAUUGCAUAAGAUGGUAUAAAUAGGAUAGAAAUUACAUCCUGCCCACGUAAUGGAACCUGGAUAAUGUUUUAGUUUUGAACAUGGAACAUGCUUUGAGCGACAAAAUCAGGUGUGAGAUAUGGUAUCUUU
RNA transcript from Cucurbita moschata (crookneck pumpkin), 1615 nucleotides. It is a transcript of the gene named prolyl-tRNA synthetase associated domain-containing protein 1, with no coding region annotated. Lineage: Eukaryota; Viridiplantae; Streptophyta; Magnoliopsida; Cucurbitales; Cucurbitaceae. The record is from RefSeq and is a predicted model, not a curated record. The transcript is spliced from 13 exons.